AGAAAAGAAGAAAGAAAAAAAGAAGAAGAAGAAGAAGAAGACAGAGGAGAGGGUAGAGCGGAGGAGAUGAACAACGGAGCUUGAAGCGCUCGUCAGCAACAGUGGGCCAAACAAUUGAAGAAGGGAGAAUGCCGACGGUAAGCCCUAGUGGUGUGAUUUUCGUUGUUCCUUUCCAAAACCCUAAUACAUUUCACUGAAUCGGUGUACCUACGUUAUUGUCGAGGGAAGUUGGUGAGUCCUUGUGAAGAAGAAGACAUGUGGUGCUGAGAGGAAAGAAAGAUCAAGAAGAAGGUGGGAAGAAGAGGCCGAAAACUGAGGGGACCCGACCCACCUGAAAUUUUCAAUUAGCUUAGUCAAGGGGACACUUGAAGACUUGAUAAAGUUUUGGGAAGUCUACAAUCAGGAGAAAAGUAGAUCUGGGUCGGUGGCGGGGACGUGUGGAGUCGUGUAGUUGUAGAAGGGGCCCCUUAGAUUGAGCCUCUUCUUCCAUGUUGUUUUGGUUAUGAUUUUGACGUUUUUGGAAAACCUGCAAUAUUUUGUAACUGUUUCUAUCUAUGUGACUCCACGGUUCUCGUUAUGUGUUUUGUAUUUUUUUUUUUGAGAUGUAUAUCAGGCAACUUUUAAUUUCUAGUCCCUGUUCAAACAAUAAGAAGUAUUGAAAGGUUAUUUUUACUCUUGAG
Molecule: long non-coding RNA, 680 nt
Organism: Cucurbita moschata (crookneck pumpkin)
Lineage: Eukaryota; Viridiplantae; Streptophyta; Magnoliopsida; Cucurbitales; Cucurbitaceae
Exons: 3
Source: RefSeq, a predicted model, not a curated record